This 420-nucleotide ribosomal RNA is filed under the name uncultured bacterium. RNAcentral's name for it is "bacterial SSU rRNA". It matches the Rfam family "Bacterial small subunit ribosomal RNA", at positions 397 to 809 of the family's 1533-position model. The record is from RNAcentral.
CCGCGUGAGUGAAGAAGGGUUUCGGCUCGUAAAGCUCUGUUGUUGGAGAAGAACGUGCGUGAGAGUAACUGUUCACGCAGUGACGGUAUCCAACCAGAAAGUCACGGCUAACUACGUGCCAGCAGCCGCGGUAAUACGUAGGUGGCAAGCGUUAUCCGGAUUUAUUGGGCGUAAAGCGAGCGCAGGCGGUUGCUUAGGUCUGAUGUGAAAGCCUUCGGCUUAACCGAAGAAGUGCAUCGGAAACCGGGCGACUUGAGUGCAGAAGAGGACAGUGGAACUCCAUGUGUAGCGGUGGAAUGCGUAGAUAUAUGGAAGAACACCAGUGGCGAAGGCGGCUGUCUGGUCUGCAACUGACGCUGAGGCUCGAAAGCAUGGGUAGCGAACAGGAUUGGAUACCCUGGUAGUCCAUGCCGUAAACGA